GCGCUAAUACCGCAUACGACCUAAGGGUGAAAGCGGGGGACCGUAAGGCCUCGCGCUAUUGGAGCGGCCGAUGUCUGAUUAGCUAGUUGGCGGGGUAAGAGCCCACCAAGGCGACGAUCAGUAGCUGGUCUGAGAGGACGAUCAGCCACACUGGGACUGAGACACGGCCCAGACUCCUACGGGAGGCAGCAGUGGGGAAUUUUGGACAAUGGGCGAAAGCCUGAUCCAGCAAUGCCGCGUGUGCGAAGAAGGCCUUCGGGUUGUAAAGCACUUUUGUCAGGGAAGAAAUCUUCUGAGCUAAUACCUCGGGAGGAUGACGGUACCUGAAGAAUAAGCACCGGCUAACUACGUGCCAGCAGCCGCGGUAAUACGUAGGGUGCAAGCGUUAAUCGGAAUUACUGGGCGUAAAGCGUGCGCAGGCGGUUUGUUAAGACAGUCGUGAAAUCCCCGGGCUCAACCUGGGAACUGCGAUUGUGACUGGCAGGCUAGAGUACGGCAGAGGGGGGUAGAAUUCCUGGUGUAGCAGUGAAAUGCGUANAGAUCAGGANGAAUACCGAUGGCGAAGGCAGCCCCCUGGGCUAG
RNAcentral lists this ribosomal RNA (582 nucleotides) under beta proteobacterium enrichment culture clone MLSB10m14H. Its description in RNAcentral is "bacterial SSU rRNA". It matches the Rfam family "Bacterial small subunit ribosomal RNA", at positions 160 to 737 of the family's 1533-position model. The record is from RNAcentral. Lineage: Bacteria; Pseudomonadati; Pseudomonadota; Betaproteobacteria.